This 482-nucleotide ribosomal RNA is filed under the name uncultured bacterium. Its description in RNAcentral is "partial 16S ribosomal RNA". It matches the Rfam family "Bacterial small subunit ribosomal RNA", at positions 30 to 506 of the family's 1533-position model. The record is from RNAcentral.
AUUGAACGCUGGCGGCAGGCCUAACACAUGCAAGUCGAGCGGAUGAAGGGAGCUUGCUCCUGGAUUCAGCGGCGGACGGGUGAGUAAUGCCUAGGAAUCUGCCUGGUAGUGGGGGAUAACGUCCGGAAACGGGCGCUAAUACCGCAUACGUCCUGAGGGAGAAAGUGGGGAUCUUCGGACCUCACGCUAUCAGAUGAGCCUAGGUCGGAUUAGCUAGUUGGUGGGGUAAAGGCCUACCAAGGCGACGAUCCGUAACUGGUCUGAGAGGAUGAUCAGUCACACUGGAACUGAGACACGGUCCAGACUCCUACGGGAGGCAGCAGUGGGGAAUAUUGGACAAUGGGCGAAAGCCUGAUCCAGCCAUGCCGCGUGUGUGAAGAAGGUCUUCGGAUUGUAAAGCACUUUAAGUUGGGAGGAAGGGCAGUAAGUUAAUACCUUGCUGUUUUGACGUUACCAACAGAAUAGGCACCGGCUAACUUCGU